RNAcentral lists this ribosomal RNA (301 nucleotides) under uncultured bacterium. RNAcentral's name for it is "partial 16S ribosomal RNA". It matches the Rfam family "Bacterial small subunit ribosomal RNA", at positions 509 to 809 of the family's 1533-position model. The record is from RNAcentral.
CAGUCGCCGCGGUAAUACGUAGGUGGCAAGCGUUGUCCGGAAUUAUUGGGCGUAAAGCGCGCGCAGGCGGAUCAGUUAGUCUGUCUUAAAAGUUCGGGGCUUAACCCCGUGAUGGGAUGGAAACUGCUGAUCUAGAGUAUCGGAGAGGAAAGUGGAAUUCCUAGUGUAGCGGUGAAAUGCGUAGAUAUUAGGAAGAACACCAGUGGCGAAGGCGACUUUCUGGACGAAAACUGACGCUGAGGCGCGAAAGCCAGGGGAGCGAACGGGAUUAGAUACCCGCGUAGUCCCUGUCUCUUAUACA